UACGUAGGGUGCAAGCGUUAAUCGGAAUUACUGGGCGUAAAGCGUGCGCAGGCGGUUGUGCAAGACAGGUGUGAAAUCCCCGAGCUCAACUUGGGAACUGCACUUGUGACUGCACGGCUAGAGUACGGUAGAGGGGAGUGGAAUUCCGCGUGUAGCAGUGAAAUGCGUAGAUAUGCGGAGGAACACCGAUGGCGAAGGCAGCUCCCUGGACCUGUACUGACGCUCAUGCACGAAAGCGUGGGGAGCAAACAGGAUUAGAUACCCUGGUAGUCCACGCCCUAAACGAUGUCAACUGGUUGUUGGGAGGGUUUCUUCUCAGUAACGUAGCUAACGCGUGAAGUUGACCGCCUGGGGAGUACGGCCGCAAGGUUGAA
RNAcentral lists this ribosomal RNA (374 nucleotides) under uncultured bacterium. RNAcentral's name for it is "bacterial SSU rRNA". It matches the Rfam family "Bacterial small subunit ribosomal RNA", at positions 524 to 898 of the family's 1533-position model. The record is from RNAcentral.